GCUGGGCACAGUGGUGCACGCCUGUAAUCCCAGUGGCUUGGGAGGCUGAGGCAGGAAGAUCUCAAGUUCAAAGCCAGCCUCAGCAAAAGCGAGGUGCUAAGCAACUCAGUGAGACCCUGUCUCUA
This 125-nucleotide small RNA is filed under the name Marmota monax (woodchuck). Lineage: Eukaryota; Metazoa; Chordata; Mammalia; Rodentia; Sciuridae. The record is from RNAcentral.